AGAGUUUGAUCAUGGCUCAGGACGAACGCUGGCGGCGUGCCUAAUGCAUGCAAGUCGUGCGCUCUUCUUCGGAAGGGAGCGGCGGACGGCUGAGUAGCGCGUGGGUUAUCUGCCCUCACGUGGGGGAUAACGCUCCGAAAGGAGUGCUAAUCCCGCAUAGCCCUGUUCGCAGGGAAAGCCGUAAGGCGCGUGUGGAGGAGCCCGCGUCCCAUUAGCUGGUUGGCGGGGUAAUGGCCCACCAAGGCUCUGAUGGGUGGCUGGUCUGAGAGGACGACCAGCCAGACUGGGACUGAGACACGGCCCAGACUCCUACGGGAGGCAGCAGCAAGGAAUUUUCCGCAAUGGGGGCAACCCUGACGGAGCAACGCCGCGUGGAGGAUGACGGCUUUCGGGUUGUAAACUCCUUUUGCGAGGGAUGAUUGUGACAGUACCUCGCGAACAAGCCCCGGCUAACUACGUGCCAGCAGCCGCGGUAAUACGAAGGGGGCGAGCGUUGUCCGGAAUCACUGGGCGUAAAGGGCGCGUAGGCGGCUCCAUAAGCGGGCGGUGAAAGCCCGGGGCUCAACCCCGGGUCGGCCGUGCGGACUGUGGGGCUGGAGCACUGUAGAGGCGGGUGGAAUUCCGGGUGUAGCGGUGGAAUGCGUAGAGAUCCGGAAGAACACCGGUGGCGAAGGCGGCCCGCUGGGCAGUGGCUGACGCUGAGGCGCGACAGCGUGGGGAGCAAACAGGAUUAGAUACCCCAGUAGUCC
Molecule: ribosomal RNA, 749 nt
Filed under: uncultured Gemmatimonas sp.
Lineage: Bacteria; Pseudomonadati; Gemmatimonadota; Gemmatimonadia; Gemmatimonadales; Gemmatimonadaceae
Description: bacterial SSU rRNA
Rfam family: Bacterial small subunit ribosomal RNA
Source: RNAcentral